UUUAGCAUUUUCUUAUUGAUUGAUGUAUUGUGUAAAAUUAUUAUGAUAUCAAAUUGGGGGUAAAGAUAUGUGUGGUAGGUUUUCACUACCACCAGCGAACUCACCACCACCGCCGACGAACUACAAAGUUAGGGUUUUUAGUUUUUAUGUAUCACUCUCUCCUUGUCUUGAAUUUAUUUUUUCGAACUUAUGAAUUGCUCAAAGUAUUUGAAUUUCGAUUAAGUUAGGUUUUCUAAUUAGGACGAAUUGGUUGUUAUUUUUUGUUUAUUGAGUAGCGAUUUAUUGAAUGUUGUUAAUUUCCCGUAUUGUAUUGAUUAUAGAUGAAUUUUUUGAUUAGGAUUAAGUAGUGGAAGUUAUAUUAUUUGAGUUGCACACUAAGUGUUUGAUAAAAUGUCGAAUGAGUUUUUGAGUUGUUGUGAUUUAUUUGGAUAUACCCUCAGGUUGGUCUCGUUGCUUUUGCCGACUUCCCUUUUUGCCUCACCAACAACAAUUCAUCGCCUUCGUUUACCCACAAAUCCACUCUACAAAUAUUGGUCUCUCACUCUAUAUAUCUCUCCCAUGGUUGAAGGGUUUCCAAUUGAAUUGUUUGAGUUGUUAACUCUAUGUUUCUGAAUUCAAUUACUUGAAUUUUGAACUUUUAGGUAUAAGACAUAUAAGUCAAAAAGGAUUGCGGCAGAAAUACGAGUUGUGCUUAGGAUUCUGAGUCAGAUUGCUGAACAUAUUAUAAGUCUUGAGGAAUAGGGAAUUGUUCAGGUUAAAGAGCUUUCCAGAAUGAGCGCAAUUGUUUAGGAGUUGUCGAAUUUGCAUAAGGUAAGGUAAUGAUACAACUCAAGCUUUGUAAUUUGAUUGAAGGGUUUUACCAGCAUAUAUACUUGGCAAAGUUAAUUUAGAUUCAGUAUUAACUAAUUCAGUGAAUUUUAGAAACACAAUUAUUGGGUUUAGUAAUUAUUUGUCUAUAGUUUUAUCAAAUGUCUAUUAGAAAGGGAGAAAAAUCUAUGCAAUCAGGGAUUAUGUAAACCUAGUUUUUGGCAACUUUGAUAUUUAAAAUAUCUAUUAUUUGUCAUUGUUAUAGACGUGUAGUUUCAUCGAUCUCUUCUUUUAGUAGAUUUCUUUUCUUGUAUGAUAAUAGUUAGUUGUGAUUACAUAUGCUAAAAGAUGUGAUAGAGUUAUUUAGUCACUCUAAGUGGUCUCUUGACACCUUAUAGGCAAGCUUACCUUUAAAUGUGUGGAUCAAUGUUCUGUUUGUACUGAAUUGAAGCUAUGCAAGCACCAAUAGUGCAUGAAAAGACUCAAAGAAUGGAUCUGUUUCUACUCAAAUAUAUGAAUUGUUUUCAUUUAUGAAAAGUACUCAAGUUUCUUUCAUGAACUUCUUUUGGUUUGUUUACAGAGAGAUGCAAAGUGAAGGCUUGCGGAUACGAAACAAAAGCCAAAUUCCAUGGGAGUAUCAUCCUCUGCCAUAUUUUUCUGUAAUUUCUAGAAGAGUUGGUGAUCCUAGCAAAUUCUGGAGAUUUUUUGGUGUUUAUAUGUUGAAAUUUGUGGUGGCAGUGCUACACCGGCAACUAUCAUGUAUUCGCUGAGAGGCACCCUCCUAUUUCAAACUAGCAACUGAGCAACAAGCCUUGUAACUGAAUUUAAGGUGCAUUUUGCAAUGUUGUUGAUAUUCUAGCUCCAUACGACAAGGGGAGGAAAGAUUAGGUUGUUUAUUCUGAGAUGCUGGUGUCGGGAAAAAUAUGGUUAUUCUGGAACUAAUCAACAACGUUGCUAAAACUCAUGGUGGCUCACCCAUUGUGUUUCAUCUUUUAUUUGCCGACAACAAAUGUACUCGUCUACGUCUCUGUGGUCAAAUGAAUGAGCCAACCAAUGCUCGUGCCCAUGUUGGUCUUACUUGAAUGGCUAUUGCAGAACACUAGAUUUUAUUAACAGCUUUUCCCGUUUCUUAAUAUUUUUUAUAUUGAGUCUAUACGGGGUUGAACGUGGUUUUAUUCUUGUAUAUGCACAAUUUUUAGUUAAUAUAAGUGUAUAUUUUUAGAUUUAUGGCCGUGGUCGAUCAUGAAUUAUUGGUAUUUGUUUGUACGGUGAUUUGGAUGAUUUUUCUAAUUGCUGCUUGAUUGUAAUGUUAACAAUUAUUUAUGUGCUUUUAGGUAACGUUGGAGGAUGAG
Spinacia oleracea (spinach) is the source of this 2159-nucleotide long non-coding RNA. RefSeq lists it as uncharacterized. NCBI's taxonomy places the organism in Eukaryota, Viridiplantae, Streptophyta, Magnoliopsida, Caryophyllales, Amaranthaceae. The record is from RefSeq and is a predicted model, not a curated record. The transcript is spliced from 4 exons.